RNAcentral lists this long non-coding RNA (77 nucleotides) under Crocodylus porosus (Australian saltwater crocodile). RNAcentral's name for it is "Mammalian CPEB3 ribozyme (ENSCPRG00005004105.1)". It matches the Rfam family "Mammalian CPEB3 ribozyme". From Rfam's summary of the family: The mammalian CPEB3 ribozyme is a self cleaving RNA located in the second intron of the CPEB3 gene which belongs to a family of genes regulating messenger RNA polyadenylation. This ribozyme is highly conserved and found only in mammals. The record is from Rfam by way of RNAcentral. Lineage: Eukaryota; Metazoa; Chordata; Crocodylia; Crocodylidae.
GGUUGAAAGUUCGAGGCCACAGCAGAAGCGCUUAUGGGAAGGCCCUGUCAGAUUUCAAUGAAUCUGUGAAUUCUGCU